GAGUUUGAUCCUGGCUCAGGACGAACGCUGGCGGCGUGCCUAAUACAUGCAAGUCGAGCGAGGGUCUUCGGACCCUAGCGGCGGACGGGUGAGUAACACGUAGGCAACCUGCCCGUAAGACCGGGAUAACAUAGGGAAACUUAUGCUAAUACCGGAUAGGGCGUUCUCUCGCAUGAGAGAAUGCGGAAAGGUGGCACAAGCUACCACUUACGGAUGGGCCUGCGGCGCAUUAGCUAGUUGGUGGGGUAACGGCCUACCAAGGCGACGAUGCGUAGCCGACCUGAGAGGGUGACCGGCCACACUGGGACUGAGACACGGCCCAGACUCCUACGGGAGGCAGCAGUGGGGAAUUUUUCGCAAUGGGGGAAACCCUGACGAAGCAACGCCGCGUGGGGGAUGAAGGUCCUCGGAUUGUAAACCCCUGUCGACCGGGACGAAAGCUGCUGGUCCUAAUACGACCGACAGUCGACUGUACCGGUGGAGGAAGCCACGGCUAACUCUGUGCCAGCAGCCGCGGUAAUACAGAGGUGGCAAGCGUUGUUCGGAAUUACUGGGCGUAAAGGGCGCGUAGGCGGCCCUGUAAGUCCCGCGUGAAAGCCCUCGGCUCAACCGAGGAACUGCGCGGGAGACUGCAAGGCUUGAGUUCGGGAGAGGGAAGUGGAAUUCCGGGUGUAGCGGUGAAAUGCGCAGAUAUCCGGAGGAACACCGGUGGCGAAGGCGGCUUCCUGGACCGACACUGACGCUGAGGCGCGAAAGCUAGGGGAGCAAACGGGAUUAGAUACCCCGGUAGUCCUA
Molecule: ribosomal RNA, 795 nt
Filed under: uncultured soil bacterium
Lineage: Bacteria
Description: bacterial SSU rRNA
Rfam family: Bacterial small subunit ribosomal RNA
Source: RNAcentral